Molecule: long non-coding RNA, 1434 nt
Filed under: Mus musculus (house mouse)
Lineage: Eukaryota; Metazoa; Chordata; Mammalia; Rodentia; Muridae
Description: predicted gene 15545
Source: RNAcentral
ACCAUUCUGUGGAUUCCUCUCCCCCAUACCCCCUACCCCGGUCUUGGAUGUUUUCUGGAGGAACUGGGGAGCGUGGGCGCGUUAAGUUAUAGGGAAAACCCCAAUUCCUGAGACGUGGAUGAGGGCGCAUUCUAGUCUGUGAUUCCGAAACCAGCCAUGAUUCGCUGUGAGCUUCCCACCCCUGUGCUGGAAGGCGCCAAGUUCUGAACACCUGUGGCCUCCUCGUGGCCUCCAGGUCCUCUGCGGGAAACACCCAGCGUCCUUUGUCUGACCAACUCCUACACGUCAAUCACCGGCAAUUCGGACGCCACCUCUUCCAGGAAAUUUCCCUGAAUCUGCAGAAAGUUACUCCUUCCCUGAGGAUGGAUGUCAGUUGCUGGAUUCGUGAACCUUCCCUUUGCCUUCAGUCCCACCAGUCUAUGGUCCAAACAUAAGAUCCUUUAAACUCCCGUAUGAGCCCUCCAGUGGGAGCUUCCGCAUAAGUCAUCUAUGCUGGGUCAGAGGAAACGUUCAGUCCAAGGGCAAGUUCAAGUCCACAGGUGAGGAGGCCAGGAUGCCUGCCUGCAGAGGACAGAGAGCCCCAGGCUGGUAAGAGGGAAAGACCCCUUGAGUGGGACACUUAAGUGAUUCCAUGGCUGUUCUGUGCUGGCCCCAGUCCCUGCUCUAAGGACGGAGGUUAAGCAACACUGAUGCCCUGCAGGCUGUCUCCCAGGCUCUUCUGUCAUCUAUGUCAAUAGAAGCAGGGCCGCUGAGCUCUACCUGUCCCUCCUGUCUUGCCAUCUGAACUCCGUCACUCCUCGCCUCCCCAUUCCACGGAAUGCAGAAGGAACCCAGCUGAUGCUCACAACAGUACCUCUGACCUGGUACCCACACUCAGUCUCGGAGAACCUGCUCUCUCGUCAGAGUCCUUUCUGCUGGGACUGACACCCAUCUCCAGGCCUUUCCUGGUCUAUCUAAGAGGAUGGGUCUGUUCACAGACUACCAAUAUCUCAGAACCCCCAUCUCAGGGUGGUCAAGGACCCUUCUGAGCCCGGCUGUGUCUCUAGAACACAGGUUUUUUGGUUUUUUUCCUCUCCUUCUGAAGUGCUGGACUAUCUCCUAACCUCCUUUUGUUUGUGUUUUGCCUAAGCUGACCGUGAAACCUCUGGAGCCAAGGAUGUCUUUAAAUCUAGAUGGUCUUGCCUCAGCCUCUCUGGUACUUGAGAUGACAGACUUGCACCACCAGAGACAAUCAUCCCGUCCCGUCCCGUGUCGUGUCGUCCCCCCCCCCCCCUCCCCGUUACACCACCACCCCACCUGCUGUGCCUCAGCCAUCUCCAGGAUCUUACUAUGUAACCCUGACUGGUCUUAGAACCCCUAGGCUGGCCUUGACCUUAUAGAGAUCCGCCUGCCUCUGCCUCCCAAGGGUUGGGAAUUAAAGGCGUGCGCCACCAC